CAAGAGACCAAACAGGGACUGCACACUGGUCUGGGCAGCACAGAGGGCUACAUGGAAGGAAAUUCAGGCUGCUGACUGAUUGAUGCUGUGUGCCCAGGAAUGGCUGCAGGCCAGGGUGUGAGCCUGUCUGUCACUGGUUUAGCCACCAUCAAGUCAUCUACCUUUACCAAAAAGCGCUGGAUGGAGGCAACUGCCUCCAAUGAUCCAAGGAACAAGAAGGCCUUUCUCACCAGAGAUCCUAAAUGACAGUUAGAGAUACGAAGAAAGACUCAGCACCACAUGAAGG
Long non-coding RNA from Talpa occidentalis (Iberian mole), 286 nucleotides. RefSeq lists it as uncharacterized. NCBI's taxonomy places the organism in Eukaryota, Metazoa, Chordata, Mammalia, Eulipotyphla, Talpidae. The record is from RefSeq and is a predicted model, not a curated record. The transcript is spliced from 3 exons.